GACGGAAGGUGCAAGCGUUGCUCGGAAUCACUGGGCGUAAAGGGUGCGUAGGCGGCUUGGUGGGUCUGGUGUGAAAGCCCCGGGCUCAGCCCGGGAAGGGCACUAGAAACUGCCGAGCUGGAGUGCCGGAGGGGAGAGUGGAAUUCCUGGUGUAGCGGUGAAAUGCGUAGAUAUCAGGAGGAACACCAGUGGCGAAGGCGACACGCUGGGCCGUACCUGACACUAAAACGCGACAGCAUGGGGAGCGAACAGG
RNAcentral lists this ribosomal RNA (253 nucleotides) under uncultured bacterium. RNAcentral describes it as "partial 16S ribosomal RNA". It matches the Rfam family "Bacterial small subunit ribosomal RNA", at positions 524 to 776 of the family's 1533-position model. The record is from RNAcentral.